CAGUACUCCUAUCGGUCUCACAAUAUAAGAAUGUUUUUAACACUACACUUACUAGGCAGUAGCUCAUGGAUAGCUAAAGGACAAUACUCCAUGACAAUUGUUCAUGGAUCCUCACUUCUCCUGUUUGUUUCUAGCCGGUAUGUCUUUGCUUCCCGUAGGCUCCACCCAUUGGCCAGCAGCCGGGUCGCCUCCACCAGAUUUUGGUUGUCUAACACGACACAAUACCCACUGUGCUCCGCUUCCCCUGAAGAUAGCGGGAACCGAGCUGCGUGGGUAUUUGAACCUGCAUAAGAAUUCUAUGAGAGAAAAGCGAUCGUUCAGGAAAUACGAGCAUUUGAAUCUUCAUUAGAAUUGUAGUAGAAGAGAAGAGAAGAGAUCAACCAUGUGUUCUCUGAUGACGUGACCACAUUCCAAAUCAAAGCUUGAGAAUGAACAUAUUCCAUUUUUCGGGCUUCAACAUUUAAUUACGUUGAAUUUCGAGAACAUUGGUGGUAAUGGAUAUACCCCUGCAUGCAUAAAAGCUCGUUAGUGAUGCAAUGAUGUUAUCUUAGUCUAUCACCUUUGGGCAUAAGUUGGAGAAGGUCAAAUGUUCCAAGUUGAUUUUAAGUGCUAAGGACCAAUUCAUGGGGUGAAAGAUUAAUUUCCUGAAAUACUAGUUAGCUACUCUAUCUUGGUGAGAGCACAAUACAGAAUGAUUAGAAUUGCUAACUGGGAUCGGUGCUGCCGCCCACUAUUUGCUCUCCAACCGCUGUUGUUCGGUCAAUGGUCUGUCAUGAAUGAUUAGAUGUCUCGACCAGUUACAGAUGUGCACACUAUUUUGCAACAAAAAUUUAUAGUCUGAUUUGGUCCAUCAGAAGUCACAAAAAGGAUGAAAUGCAGUGUUGAGUUCCAAUACUCUUAGGUUCUCGCAUGUUUAUGCCCAAACUCACAACAAGAAACCAUUCUCGAAGGCGCUCAUGCGUCCUUGUCAAGCAGCCUGAACACGUGCACCAUGUUGCUCUACUUUCCUACCGACAUCACAAUAUCCAGGUUGCUUAACACGGCACAAUUCGACCCAGCUGGACUCCUCCCAUCCGAAGUACACCGGGUGAUUGAAUGUUCAUUUCAAGUGUUGAGAACAACUUCAACUAUUUUUCAGUUGUG
Molecule: long non-coding RNA, 1143 nt
Filed under: Hordeum vulgare
Lineage: Eukaryota; Viridiplantae; Streptophyta; Magnoliopsida; Poales; Poaceae
Description: long non-coding RNA (HVUL_LNC017574)
Source: RNAcentral